Molecule: ribosomal RNA, 468 nt
Filed under: uncultured bacterium
Lineage: Bacteria
Description: partial 16S ribosomal RNA
Rfam family: Bacterial small subunit ribosomal RNA
Source: RNAcentral
GACGAACGCUGGCGGCGUGCUUAACACAUGCAAGUCGAACGGAAAGGCCCUGCUUUUGUGGGGUGCUCGAGUGGCGAACGGGUGAGUAACACGUGAGUAACCUGCCCUUGACUUUGGGAUAACUUCAGGAAACUGGGGCUAAUACCGGAUAGGAGCUCCUGCUGCAUGGUGGGGGUUGGAAAGUUUCGGCGGUUGGGGAUGGGCUCGCGGCUUAUCAGCUUGUUGGUGGGGUAGUGGCUUACCAAGGCUUUGACGGGUAGCCGGCCUGAGAGGGUGACCGGCCACAUUGGGACUGAGAUACGGCCCAGACUCAUACGGGAGGCAGCAGUGGGGAAUAUUGCACAAUGGGCGGAAGCCUGAUGCAGCAACGCCGCGUGCGGGAUGACGGCCCUCGGGUUGUAACCCGCUUUCGCCUGUGACGAAGCGUGAGUGACGGUAAUGGGUAAAGAAGCACCGGCUAACUACGUG